UAAUACAUGCAAGUAGAACGCUGAAGGAGGAGCUUGCUUCUCCNGGAUGAGUUGCGAACGGGUGAGUAACGCGUAGGUAACCUACCUGGUAGCGGGGGAUAACUAUUGGAAACGAUAGCUAAUACCGCAUAACAGUAGAUAUUGCAUGAUAUCUGCUUGAAAGGUGCAAUUGCAUCACUACCAGAUGGACCUGCGUUGUAUUAGCUAGUUGGUGGGGUAACGGCUCACCAAGGCGACGAUACAUAGCCGACCUGAGAGGGUGAUCGGCCACACUGGGACUGAGACACGGCCCAGACUCCUACGGGAGGCAGCAGUAGGGAAUCUUCGGCAAUGGACGGAAGUCUGACCGAGCAACGCCGCGUGAGUGAAGAAGGUUUCGGAUCGUAAAGCUCUGUUGUAAGAGAAGAACGAGUGUGAGAGUGGAACGUUCACACUGUGACGGUAUCUUACCAGAAAGGGACGGCUAACUACGUGCCAGCAGGCGCGGUAAUACGUAGGUCCCGAGCGUUGUCCGGAUUUAUUGGGCGUAAAGCGAGCGC
RNAcentral lists this ribosomal RNA (539 nucleotides) under uncultured Bacilli bacterium. Its description in RNAcentral is "bacterial SSU rRNA". It matches the Rfam family "Bacterial small subunit ribosomal RNA", at positions 49 to 572 of the family's 1533-position model. The record is from RNAcentral. Lineage: Bacteria; Bacillati; Bacillota; Bacilli.